CGCGGCCUAUCAGCUUGUUGGUGAGGUAACGGCUCACCAAGGCAUCGACGGGUAGCUGGUCUGAGAGGACGAUCAGCCACACUGGGACUGAGACACGGCCCAGACUCCUACGGGAGGCAGCAGUAGGGAAUCUUGCGCAAUGGGCGAAAGCCUGACGCAGCAACGCCGCGUGGGGGAUGAAUGCCUUCGGGUUGUAAACCCCUUUCAGCAGGGACGAAAAUGACGGUACCUGCAGAAGAAGCUCCGGCCAACUACGUGCCAGCAGCCGCGGUAAUACGUAGGGAGCGAGCGUUGUCCGGAAUUAUUGGGCGUAAAGAGCUCGUAGGCGGUUCAGUAAGUCGGGUGUGAAAACUCAAGGCUCAACCUUGAGACGCCACUCGAUACUGCUGUGACUUGAGUCCGGUAGAGGAGUGUGGAAUUCCUGGUGUAGCGGUGAAAUGCGCAGAUAUCAGGAGGAACACCAGCGGCGAAGGCGGCACUCUGGGCCGGUACUGACGCUGAGGAGCGAAAGCAUGGGGAGCAAACAGGAUUAGAUACCCUGGUAGUCCAUGCCGUAAACGUUGGGCACUAGGUAUGGGAUCAUAUCAACGGACUCCGUGCCGUAGCUAACGCAUUAAGUGCCCCGCCUGGGGAGUACGG
Molecule: ribosomal RNA, 639 nt
Filed under: uncultured Actinomycetes bacterium
Lineage: Bacteria; Bacillati; Actinomycetota; Actinomycetes
Description: bacterial SSU rRNA
Rfam family: Bacterial small subunit ribosomal RNA
Source: RNAcentral